Non-coding RNA from Cinara cedri, 408 nucleotides. Lineage: Eukaryota; Metazoa; Arthropoda; Insecta; Hemiptera; Aphididae. The record is from the annotation of a GenBank genome assembly.
AUGAGACAAUUAGAGUUUUGAGCGAUUGUUUUAUAACUGAUUGCAAUUUUUGACAACCCGGAUCAUCAAACAAUUUAAAACUACGUUUACUGUGUUCGGUUAGGUACUGGUUAUCCGUUGGCCAAAUUCUGUGAGGUAAACAAAACUUUUUCGGCGAUAUCGUAACCAUGUAGCAAACGCUUUUUUGUUUUUGUUUUUUCUUAUGAUGCAGAACCAUUACAAGUUACUUUGUUAUGUACAUAUGUCAGAAUAAUUAAAUUGUUAUUAUUAUUAAUUUAUUUUAAAUUGGAUUCUCCGUCUGUAAAAUAAAUAAAUAAACAGCAAAACACCCAGGUUGUGAUUUUUUUUCCUCUUAAAGUUGUUAUUGACAACUCAAAAUUAUUAUUGAAAACUUGGAUAUAACAUUAU